UUCAACACCAGCCUGGCCAACAUGGUGAAACCCCAUCCCUACUAAAAAUACAAAAUGUAGCCAGGUGUGAUGGUGCAUGCCUGUAAUUCCAGCUACUCAGGAGGCUGAGGUGGGAUAAUCACUUGAACCCAGGAGGUGGAGGUUGCAGUGAACUGAGAUCACGCCACUGCACUCCAGCCUGGAUGACAGAGCAAGACUCUGUCUCAAAAAAAAAAAUAAUGGAAAACUGGAAAGAGAAAAAUUGUUUCAAAAACUAUAGCACACCUGUUGUUAGAUUCUUGUCUUGCCUAAUGUUUUUCAAUUUUAUUAUUUUCUACAGUUUGGACCGAAUUCUAAUUUUUCUUGACUACAAGUCUUCAAAAUAAUGUUUUCAUUUUUUUCUUCUUUUUUCCAUUUUUUUCCAAUUUGGAGUCACUGAAAACUAAGCUGUGCUUUCAUAAAGCCCUGCAAACUGAAUCUAGACAACUUCAGAAGAAAAAUAACAGCAACCUAUUUACAUACAUAAGCCACUUUCAUACCUGCCUACCGAUGUAUGGACUUCAGAGUAAUGUGGCUUAUAGCAAUUUUCCAGGAUUGUUCUUUUGUUUGUUGUUGUUCUCCCUUCCUCCCCCUAUUUUGUCUUUAUGGGACAUGACACUUCACAACCUUCUAAAAAUGAGUUUUCCUAAUAACUCAGGACCUACUCGUCUAGAAAUAAACCAUCCUAGCCAUGAGAGAUAAGAUAAAACAUGAGACAAGAGACUCAUUUUUUUCUAAAAUGCUUUCUCUAAAAGAUUUUUAAAAAGAAAGGGGAGGAAAUGUGAAAGGAAAAUAUCUUGGGCCCCCAAAUCACUCAGCUAAAGGCAAAAGUCAAGCUGGGAACUGCUUGGGGCAAGCUUGCCUCCCAUUCUAAUCAAAGUCACUGCUCUGCUCACUGAGACAAAUGCAUAUCUGAUUGCCUCCUUUAGAGAUGCAUUCAUGAGAAACUCAAAAGAAUGCAUCCAUUUGUCUCUAGUUUACCUGUGACCUGUAAGCCCCUCCCUGCUUCGAGUUGUCCCGCCAUAUUGUUUCACUGAGCCAGACUAAGGCAUACGUGACUAUUCCUCUACCCUCCUCUUGCAUGUAAAUUGUGCCUUCAGUGAAAGGCUAAUCAGAAACUCAAAAGAAUGUAAUUGGUUAUCUCUUAUCUACCUAUGACCUGGAAGUCCACUCCCCUGCUUAGAGUAGUCCCACCUUUCUGGACCAAACCAAUGUACAUCUUACACAUACUGAUUGAUGUCUCAUGUCUCCCUAAAAUGUAUAAAACCAAACUGUGCUCUGACCACCUUGAGCACAUAUUGUCAGGACCUCCUGAGGCUGUGUUGUUACAGGCACGUGUUCUCAACCUGGCAAAAUACACUUUCUAAAUUAACUGAGACCUGUCUCAAAUUUUCUGGGUUCACACUCACUUGGCGAUCCAAGAUUUAUUUUCCUUUCACACUGGUCAGAUGUGCCUGAAUUCCAAAGGGAGGACAGUAUAAUGAAGCAUGUCCAAAC
RNAcentral lists this long non-coding RNA (1515 nucleotides) under Homo sapiens (human). Its description in RNAcentral is "LHRI_LNC1826.1". The record is from RNAcentral. Lineage: Eukaryota; Metazoa; Chordata; Mammalia; Primates; Hominidae.